This 499-nucleotide ribosomal RNA is filed under the name uncultured Lachnospiraceae bacterium. RNAcentral describes it as "bacterial SSU rRNA". It matches the Rfam family "Bacterial small subunit ribosomal RNA", at positions 8 to 507 of the family's 1533-position model. Lineage: Bacteria; Bacillati; Bacillota; Clostridia; Lachnospirales; Lachnospiraceae. The record is from RNAcentral.
AGAGUUUGAUCCUGGCUCAGGAUGAACGCUGGCGGCGUGCCUAACACAUGCAAGUCGAGCGAAGCGCUUGAAUUCGAUUCUUCGGAUGAGGAUUCUUGUGACUGAGCGGCGGACGGGUGAGUAACGCGUGGGCAACCUGCCUUACACAGGGGGAUAACAGUUAGAAAUGACUGCUAAUACCGCAUAAGACCGCAGUACCGCAUGGUACAGCGGUAAAAACUCCGGUGGUGUAAGAUGGGCCCGCGUCUGAUUAGGUAGUUGGCGGGGUAACGGCCCACCAAGCCGACGAUCAGUAGCCGACCUGAGAGGGUGACCGGCCACAUUGGGACUGAGACACGGCCCAGACUCCUACGGGAGGCAGCAGUGGGGAAUAUUGCACAAUGGGGGAAACCCUGAUGCAGCGACGCCGCGUGAGCGAUAAAGUAUUUCGGUAUGUAAAGCUCUAUCAGCAGGGAAGAAAAUGACGGUACCUGACUAAGAAGCCCCGGCUAACUACGUG